CUUCAUUCUUCCUCCCACCCUCCCUGGAGUCUGCCAGGGUCUGUCUACCUUUCUGGCUGCUUUGCUUGGCAGGCUCUUUGGGAGCAGUGAGUAUGACUCCCCAGGGGAACCCAUAGGGUUGCCUGCAGUUUGGGGAGUGUGUCCCAGGCUACUGAGCUGACCAAAAGAACUUGCCAAAUAUUGCAAGAUGCUGCUCACCCUGAAGCAGGUGCCAGGCUGUACCCUCUGCAUCACGCACGUCCACUUUGUCCUUCAGAACAUCCCCUCCUACUGUCUGUCCAGCGAUGCGCUUGCCUUUGGCACAUGAAGGGAUGGAGGCUUGAGUUGGUUCUGAGACUCACACAGACUCCUGGAGUUGGGCCAAUGAUCAUUGUAUGGAAGAUAAAUGAGGCCUGUUUCAGCUGAAGAGAAACACCUGCUAGAAAGUCCCUGCCAGCUGAAGGGCUUGUUCCACCCCUUCUCUGCUUCCUCUCUGAUUACAUGAUAGCAUCUCAAAGCUCUCUCCAUCCUUCUGUCUUGUUUUCCAUUAAAAAAAAAUCAUGCAUUGUCAUAACUGUUAUUUGUAAGCUUCCAUGCUAUUUAAACCGUGAUUAAUUAUAAUACCUCACCAAAGCAAUAACAACCUCCUAAAACGCACACCAGGCCACAUUGCUCCAUUGUCUGGAGAGCUUCCUCCCCCAGUGUGCCAGGCCCUGUGUGGUACAGGUGCAGUCUGCCUUCUCACCUCUCACCCUGUCCUUACCUUCUGCUCCUGUCCUCGUGGUGCCUCCUGCUUGC
Molecule: long non-coding RNA, 777 nt
Filed under: Cricetulus griseus (Chinese hamster)
Lineage: Eukaryota; Metazoa; Chordata; Mammalia; Rodentia; Cricetidae
Description: lncRNA (ENSCGRG00015032463.1)
Source: RNAcentral